UAGGGAAUCUUCCACAAUGGACGCAAGUCUGAUGGAGCAACGCCGCGUGAGUGAAGAAGGUUUUCGGACCGUAAAGCUCUGUUGUUGGUGAAGAAGGAUAGAGGUAGUAACUGGCCUUUAUUUGACGGUAAUCAACCAGAAAGUCACGGCUAACUACGUGCCAGCAGCCGCGGUAAUACGUAGGUGGCAAGCGUUGUCCGGAUUUAUUGGGCGUAAAGCGAGCGCAGGCGGAAGAAUAAGUCUGAUGUGAAAGCCCUCGGCUUAACCGAGGAAUUGCAUCGGAAACUGUUUUCUUGAGUGCAGAAGAGGAGAGUAGAACUCCAUGUGUAGCGGUGGGAUGCGUAGAUAUAUGGAAGAAUACCAGUGGCGAAGGCGGCUCUCUGGUCUGCAACUGACGCUGAGGCUCGAAAGCAUGGGUAGCGAACAGGAUUAGAUACCCUGGUAGUCCAUGCCGUAAACGAUGAGUGCUAAGUGUUGGGAGGCUUCCGCCUCUCAGUGCUGCAGCUAACGCAUUAAGCACUCCGCCUGGGGGAGUACGACCGCAAGGUUGAAAC
This 554-nucleotide ribosomal RNA is filed under the name uncultured bacterium. Its description in RNAcentral is "partial 16S ribosomal RNA". It matches the Rfam family "Bacterial small subunit ribosomal RNA", at positions 355 to 900 of the family's 1533-position model. The record is from RNAcentral.